Long non-coding RNA from Physeter macrocephalus (sperm whale), 8257 nucleotides. RefSeq lists it as uncharacterized. The transcript is spliced from 4 exons. The record is from RefSeq and is a predicted model, not a curated record. NCBI's taxonomy places the organism in Eukaryota, Metazoa, Chordata, Mammalia, Artiodactyla, Physeteridae.
CUCUGAUGAUCUAAAGAUCCACAGCUUCAUGUACUGACUCAGAGAAAGUAAAUGGCAUUUCAAAUACAACCUUCAUACUUUAAUAGAUGAGGUCACCCUGAGAAAGAUGAUACUGUGAGCCCAGCAGUGGGAAACCUCCCUCCAGAGAACCGCUUUGAUUUACAAGGUCAAGGAAGGCUUUCUCAGAGAAGCAGUAGGUUUUUAGUGACUUGGACUAAAAUGAAGACUUUUUUAAAAUUAAAAACUGAGUUUGAGACAGCAGACAAUUAGAAACUCUUGCUCAGCAAUAGGGACGACCCCGGAGAACAGGGAUCCUAGCGGCCUGCAGAAGGCAAAGAGUCAGCACUGAUUUGCUGAUGAGGAUAGAGGCCCAAGGAAGGGGCUGCCAUUUGUGGCCGACACUGACAUUCCUGUGUGGACCGACUGAACCCUCGUGAAUCUCCCAGAUGGGUCUCAACAAGGGCGGUUUCUCCUUCAGGGGACCCUGGACAACGUCUGGAGAUGUUUUUGCUUGUUGCCACUGGGGUAAGGGGAUGCGACUGGCAUCGCGUGGGUGGAGGCCAGGGGUGGGGUGCUAUUAAACAUCACCCAGUGCACAGGAUGGCCCCCCAACAGCAGGGGAUGAUCCGGCCACAGAUGCCAGCGGUGCCUUAGGGAACCCCAGCCCAGGGUAGGCACGUACAACCCCAGUGUCAAACCAAGAUGACAAAGCCGGACGCUGUGACUUCCAGAGGUGCCUCCAGACUCAGAGAAAUUUAAUGCAGCACGUGCCCUGGGCCGAGUACAAGUGAAACUGAGGGGUGUUAAGAGAUAAGGGGUGUGGCGGGCACCUUCUGGAGCCCUUCUGGGAACCCUGCCGUCAUGCUGCGGCCAGGACUCUGUCCCCGUGCCAGGGAUUGGGACGGCUGCUUUCUCACAGUCUCGCGGCCUGGCACCCAGUCUCAGAGCUGGCAUGCCGAGCCCCGGGUGAGCCGCAGGUGUAAACGACUGACAAGAUCGCUCCUGAGCUGACCGUCGGCUUUGCCACCUGGGAAGGGACAGGCUAGCGCUUGCCUCUCGCGAGCUACCCGCGCAUGAGUCACACGUAACCAGAUAACAAUGCAAAUCGCUGUCAGCCUUCCUAAGGUUUCAUUCCAACAUCUCAUGGAGUGACAGAGCAGGAAGCAACCUUGGAGACUCUUCGAGCCAGCCCCACGUUGGAGAAAGCUGAAGUGUGGCGAGGUGAGAUGACUCCCUCUCGUUCCCCACGGCAGAGCACGGCGGGCUCAGGGAGGAACAUCUCCUGACCCCGAGAAGGCAGGGCCUCGGCCGGAGGGGGAGCUAGGAGAUCGGUGGCGAAGGUUCUCUUUUACUUCUGGACCAGGCCCCCUGUGGCCAUCAGACGUGGCAACAUCUGCUUCCUCCGCCACGUUCCUCCACAGUCACCGACACGUCAGCAGUGGAAGGGGAAACCAGGGAGAGAAGACCCCACCGGUGCGGGAAGAGCUCAAGUGUCAGCCCCGGCUGCAGGAGCCGAACGCCUAGCCCUCGGCACCCGGCUUCCCAGCGCCUUCCUUGACCCGCCCGGUGACUGAAUUUAUUCUCCAGCAGGCGCCGAGCUCCUUGUUUUGCAGUAGGAAAUUCUCUUUCACAAGAGGGCCACUGUUGACAGGUGUGAGAUUGGACUUGAUUCGGGGCCAACACCUCCAGUCCCGGAGCCAGGUCUGUGAGCCGAAAACAUGCACCAACCCUCCAGUAAUACCACUGCAGCCAGCCAGAGUCUCAACAAUUUAAGGCUUAACACACACAGCAUAAAUCAGAGGAGGAUGGACCAGCCGACCGGCAGUUUCUUGGGCGGGUGCCUGCAGACUGUCUGCAGAUCAGACCCUGCCUGUUUGGGUUAUUUGAGACUUUUUUUUUUUUUUUUGGUAAAAUAUAAAGAUGAGAAACUGGGCGGAGCAGUGUGUGGAGGCAUGCUGGUGUUUGCCCUAUCUUGUUCCGACGGCCCCUUUUUCUCCCUAAGUGCUGUUUUGCAGGGACCGCUCGGGAGGCUUCGCUUUGCUCUAUCCAAACACUAAGAAGGUGUUCAAGCUGGGCAGGGCUGGCACAGGGAAGCCGAGCCCCCCAAUACGGUGCCGUCUGUGUGACCUUCAGCAAGUCACUUAACCUCUCUGGGCUUCCGACUUCUCCGUCUAAUGAGGUGGCUGGCCGUCUCAUUCUGGUCUAUCUAUCUCUGAUUCGCUCAUCUCCAGUGGUCAGAAGUUCAGAGUCAUUGUUAAGAACUGCCUAACUCAGAGGAAACCAUCACCCUUGGGAGAAAAUGUACAGCUCCACCGAAUGCUCUGUUUCUGAGUGGAUCAGUUUCUUGGAGCAAGAAAAGGCCCGUCAUUGGCCUUCUCCUCUUAUCUGUUCCUUAGGAGCGUGUGAUCCUCAAAACCUGGAGCUCCAGGCCUCGGGGCAGGCGGUCAGCAUGCUCCGAGAGCCCAGCGCCGUGUGGGAGGCGAGAAGCAGAUGACAGGUCCGCGCUGCUAGUCAGUGCAGGGCCUCAGGGAGAAAGGCAUCUGGUCUCCGCUCGUGGGAUUCCCGCCACAGUCCUGGGUGGCUCUGGCCCGGGCAUUCGUGCCCUUGACCCUGAGUUCACCAGCAAGGGCGUGGCCACCGCAGGGAUGCUGGGGUCUGGCCGGGCGCCCUGGCUCUCACUGCCCUGCACCGUUCAGGGAGUGAAUGGCAUGGACUGGGCAGCAUCCUGACCUGGGACGAGGGGGACUGUCACUCAGCGCCGGGCCCCGACAGCCCGCGCCUCGCUCCCGCAGCUGCGGCCCUGGCCCGUCUCACCGCACACCUGUUUGCUGGCCUGCUCCUGCCCCACGGCCUGGGCUGCAAGCAGGCUUUCAAGGCCUGGGCCCGGGGCCGGACCAGCACCGAGAGGCAGUUACCUCAGAUCACACAGGAGGGUGAAAUGCGGAGUGGGGCUGGGGACGCUUGGCGGGGCUGAGAAGGACAGAGGGUGGCCUUGAGGCAGGUGUUCUACCCUUGCCUUUAAAAAAAAAAUCCCUACCGCUUCAGUAUGAAAUUCAACAUUGAAAGGAUGGAGACACAAGCACGUGAUACCAAAUCGAACCAUGGGGAUCCACCAUCUCGUCGAGAAAGACAGGGAAAGGCAGAGCAGGAGUAAACGUCCUAAUGCGCCCUCGGUACUGACAGCAGAGCCCACGUUCUGUGCCCCCGCCCCCCCGCCCAGGCAGAGAGACAGCAGGCCAGUAGGACGGGCACUGGACCAGGAGCCCCAGGACUUGGGAGUUCAGGUCCUCCUCCAAGUGGGCCAAUCACUGAUGCUCCCUGGGCCUCAGCGCCUCAUGAAUGAAAUAAAGGGCUUCUAGAAAGACAUUUAAGGUCCCUUUCAACUAUAAGGGUUUUCCAUUUGCAUUUGACCCUGUGGAGAAGUGGGUAUGUGCUCUCCUGUUAAUUUACCCAAGGAAACGGAACUUGGACAAAGAGGACACUAAGACCAUCCUGCCCUUGUCUGCCCCAGGGCUGGCAUCGCUCCUGGAAGUAAGGGGACACGGAAGGUCAUUAUCACAGAGCAGCUGUGUGGCUCAUAGGAGAGGACGGAGGUGCGACUCCCUGGUGAGGCACCAACGCCACCAACGAGAGCACAAUAAUAGCAAUAAUAGUAAAAAGCAUAACACUGACCACUUACCGAGUGUUUAAAGUGUACCGGGCUCUGCGUAAAUACCGGACAGAAGGAUACCUCAAUCCCUGUGAUGAGUUCGUGAGGCAAUGGGGUAAACACCGCACGCCAGGCAUCCGGCGCUUUGUGCAUAUGAACUUGUUUCGUCCUCGCAAGUCUCCCGUGGGCUGGGUACCAUCACUACCGUGCCUGUUUCACAGACGGGGACCAGCGGUGCAGAGGACUAAAGUAAUUCUUGCAAGGUCACCUAAUUGGGAAGUGGCCAGGCAGGGACUGGGAUUCCCGUUAAUAUCCACGUAGAUCUCAGCGUUACUCUGUGGGUCCAGAUUCUGCUUUCCUCAUGUACUGCAUUCUGGGGGUUCCCAUGUCUUUUCUGAUUCCCUCCUGAUGAUAAGGUGGGAGGAACAGCUCCAUCCCGACUGAUGGGACGGAUGGACAGAAGAACUGGCAUUCCGCUUUGACUUCUGCAGCCCACGGAGCGCUCCCGUGAACGACCAGGGAGAAAGUUUGAAAAAUAAGAGAAAUUCCUUACAGACUCUCCAAGGCGUCUCCGCCCACGGCCCUCCCCCAAGGCGUGAAAGUAUCAAAUGAGGAAAUCGGGAAGAGAUUCUGGAAUAAGAAUAACAAGAUUUCCUCUCCCUUCCACCUGAACUGGCCAUCCGUAAUUGUGCACUAAUUCAAUUUUAAAGUCAUGCCUUGUAGUAAUUUGUGGAAAAUCGUAUUAAACAAGAGCCACGUCUGGGCCAUGGCUUCUCCCAUUUAGCAACAUAUGGUGGCUCAGAAAGCCCGAUCCCACGGCAAAAAUAUUACCAAAAAAAGAAAGGGGGGGGGGCCUCGUAAUCCGGGGGCAGAGUGGGAGGCUCUGGGACAUCUCUACUGGCUUCCUGAGAACGCUAGGCGCUCAUCCCUGAGAGCCGCGGAAUUACAGCCUAUUAGCGUUAGGGCCACCUUGUUAAUGACUUUCCUGAUGGGUGAGGGCCUGGGACUCACGUGCCUGCCAGCACCUGAGUGAGCGCAGCGGGCAGACCCUCAGGACCAUGCCGCGCACCUCGUGGGUGGCUAGUGGUGGGGAUUAAAGGAACCAACGAUAUCAUCAGUCAUUCCAGAAAUGUGAGCCAUAAUUAUUGUGUUACUGCCUUUAGUAAACGUGAGAACCAGGCAACGUCCUCGUCAUUCUGCGGUGGGCCCGGCUCCAAUAACCACCGAGGUAUAGACCCGAUCACAGACAUACGCUGCAGAUUCAAACCUGGGGUGGGGCGGGGGAAAGAUCUGCAGGUUUCAAAAGCUUCUGCAUUCAUCCCAAAGACCCCAGCCCCGCUGGAUGGCCAACCGAAGCACGGCUUAAAACUCAGGCAACGACGGUUGUUCCACACAGCAGGCAAGUUACAAAGAAGUACGGAUGAAGAUGAACAGACCCUGAGAGGGACAAUCCAAAUAAACUACUUAAUGGGCAGGAAUGCCAAGUCGAGCCCUUGAGCUUGUGCUGACUUUUACAGAUAUUUUAAUAACUUUAUCCUUAUAUAAUUUGCCGUCUCGUAUGGACAGAGAGAUGCACUAAAGGAGCGUGCACGAGUGGCCGCAACACUGAGAUAACCCCACGAGACGUAAUAAAACAAUCACGUCCUCUUCCUCGUAUGACCUACAACUGCAGGAAGCGCAAUCACUAGUCGGAUUACUUCUUCCUCCCUUUUCACCCCGAGAUAUUCUUUUGAAACCUCCCAAGCAAGUGUAUGUGUGUAGCCCUUCCCAAGGUGCACAGCAUAAGCUCUCUCGUCUUGAUCUGGCCUUGGGAUGAUCAGGCUGAGCACGUAAAGCUGUAGGGCAAAGAGGACUUCUUCUGCAGCAGGAACCAGCAAGUUACGGAUCUGGGACACUUCACGGCCCCAGAUGGGUGAGCUGCUGGCACCCAGAGUAGUGCUGACUCGCCUGGGCCCCUCAGAGACCUUCCUCACACGCCUUCCCUAGGGACGCUCUGCUCUUACGACACCUGGGUGGUCACACCCAGACGCCAAGGCAGAAGGACCAUAGCGCAUCCUCCUUCAUGCUCCCAGAAGGACCCAGAUCUUGUUAGCCAGACUUGGUAACAUCGACCUCUGGAGGCUCAGAUCCAGUGACACUGGGUGGAAGGACCAUUGGUGUGCAGAAAUAAGCCCUAUUUCAGUCCGCGGUGGCGAGUGCUUUAAUGCUCAGGCUUCCCGAGCUGUUAAGUGACCUGAGAUGCACAGAUCAGUGUCCCCCACUCCCUCCUCCGCCCUCUUGUUCACACUUCCUCCAGGUGGGAAAGCAGGGGGUCCCAUCUUAAGAAGGAGAAUCAACUUUACAAAAGGGACAGUUAACUCUAGCUACUGACUGCGAUUGGAGGAUGUUUUGACAAUCUUGAAAUGAUAUUUGGAAUGUUCUUAUCCCCAGACCCGACCCUUAGGGGGUGUGAAAUCACGGUGGGCCCUUGAGCCUGAGUCUGGAGGAAAGCACUAUCUUUCCUGCCCAAUGAUUCUCUCUCCUGCCCAUGGCUCAUUCGGGGGCUUGGUGCCAUGGUUCUGUUUUCCACUGAAACAUGCUCAUUUCUUUUAAACAAUAAAUGUUAUAUUCCAUGCCACUUGGGAGAGCCUGAAUUAGCUAACACUCAAUCUGAAGACUUUCCAUAGCUUGAUAAUCAAAAAUCAACUGGAUAAGAAGUGGUACAUUCCUUUUUUUCUCCCCUCUAUCAAUUGUCAGGAGUGCCCAAAGAAACAGAAGAUAAACAUGAUUGGCCAAUGUUUGUUUUUAGGGUGCGUUCUAUACUGUUUUUUUUUUUUAAAAAAAAUUAUUAUUAUUUUGUUGUAUUUACUGUGGCUGGUAACUGAAUCUCUAGUAUGAAAACAUCAAAUGUUCUGCCAGAAGGAGAUUAUGGAAGAAAAGUCUAUGCUAGGAAACUGGGUUUCUCAGUGAAGAUUUUAUUUACAGGAGUUUUGCAAUCCGGAUCUUUAAUCUCCAUAACAAUUGAGCUGUUCCAGGGCUCUGAAAGCAAUUGUUCAAUAAUAAGAAAGCUCAUGUAGGGCUCCGUAGAGAAUGGACUUGAGGACACAGGGAGGGGGAAGGCUAAGCUGGGACGAAGUGAGAGAGUGGCAUGGACAUAUAUACACUACCAAACGUACGGUGGAUAGCUAGUGGGAAGCAGCCGCAUGGCACAGGGAGAUCAGCUCGGCGCUCUGUGACCACCUAGAGGGGUGGGAGAGGGAAGGUGGGAGGGAGACGCAAGAGGGAGGGGAUAUGGGGAUAUAUGUAUAUGUAUAGCUGAUUCACUUUGUUAUACAGCAGAAACUAACACACCACUGUAAAGCAAUUAUACUCCAAUAAAGAUGUUAAAAAAAAAGGAAAGCUCAUGUAGGGCUAAAGCUUUGCAAGUAAAAUGUGAAAAUAUAAUACAAAUAUACACCGAGGUGGCUCUGAACAGUUGAUAAUUCCCCUGCCUCUUCAUUUUCCCCCUAAAAGUCAGGCUGCAGUGCUCCAAGGGUCAGAGGGAAAUAAGGGAAGAUAGCCGUAAUUACGGUUCAUCAGCAUUAUUUAAAUCAUACGUGUUGAAUUUUAAAGAGCACUAAAAUAACUGAAUUACAGUGGGCCUGCAUUUCUGUUCCAUGAUGGGAGGAAAAAUAAUGCAAGUGAGGAAAACCAGCGCCGUUUGGAGAACCACAACUGACAAGAAAACACAACGGGUCGUUUUCUCACCAGAGCCUUUUUCUCCCCCUUAUCAGCGUAUAUUGUUUGCCCCUCUCUUGGUGCAAACUUUCGGUAAACUUUGAUACCACUUCACGGCCGCAGUCAAAGUUUUGUUUUUAAAUAUCCAAAUGUGAAGGGCUAUCUUCGGGUGAUCUGUAAAUGUGGGAUUAUGAGAUGUGCAAAGUGAAUCACCAGCCUUUCGCAAUGGGUUUCUGGUCAACAGUGCCUCGCAAUAAAGCCAUUUUUAACAAGGCAGCUUGUUCAAAACAACAGUGAUACGCUGAGCUCCAGGCCAUCACAUUCUUGAGUCCCUCCCAACUGGCUGGCUGUGGUCCCCGUGUCGUCUUCUGUCCCUGUGCUUACUCCCAGCCGUGAUGUCAUGAGCUUUUGGGGGCCAGGGCAAGAGGCACCCAGGCCUCCUGCUUUUCAUGGCUCCCAUGACACAGGGGAGAAUCCCUUUUCUCUAUCACUGCUGGGACCUCUGAUUCCAUCAGCAUAGGUGUCUAGAAAAUGUUAAGAAAUAUCUGAUCUCAUGUGAAAAAAAACCCAUACGUUCUCGUGGCUGGAAAAUAAAAGUACCACGAUACUGAGUUCCAGUAAAUGAUGGCCGGAAGUGAGAGUAGCUGGAAGAUGUGCUUGAGUAUGCGUGGCACAAGACACUGAGUUCACAGUUACCUGCCCAUCAUAUCUGUUCUGGGGGAGUGGACAAGGGAAAGUGAUCUCUGGACUCACCUGGUGCCCGGUAUCCAUUCCACCUUGGUGUAAUAGGUAGAAUGGUGGCCCUGCAAAGGUAUGUAUGUCCAUGUUCUGACCCACGGAACUGUGAAUGUGACCUGAUUUGGAAGAAGGGUCUUGGCGGAUGUAAUUAAGUGAAGGAUCUCAAGAUGAGAU